CUUGACCCUGGAAGAAAAGUACAGGGUACGCUGGUUCCUGCCUGAGCACGGGAGGUUUCACCUGGCCAGCCAGAGCUCCGAGCUUUGACAGUCACGCAGUGAAAGUCGCCCUGUUCCGGAGAGGAAAAAACAAAAACACUGCGAAACUCUUUCAUGGACCAACUCCUUUACUUCCCCCAACAACCCUGAGGUAGCUGCUCAUCCCUACAUGCAACAGAAAAUGGCGCAGUCGGGAUGUCCUCGGCAGCACCCGCAGUGGAGAUGGGCACAGGCUCCGGAGUCCGCUUCCUCUGCUGACACCUCAGCUCUCUUGUUUCCUACCAAUGUGACCUCGCGCAAGUGGCUUAUCAUCUCUCAGUGUCCACGUCUUCAUUAGUAAAAUGAG
RNAcentral lists this long non-coding RNA (385 nucleotides) under Equus caballus (horse). RNAcentral's name for it is "lncRNA (ENSECAG00000048266.1)". The record is from RNAcentral. Lineage: Eukaryota; Metazoa; Chordata; Mammalia; Perissodactyla; Equidae.